GGGGUUGUAGCUCAGCGGAAGAGCACUUGCCUAGCGUGAAUGAGGCACUCGGUUCAAUUCUCAGCACCA
Molecule: transfer RNA, 69 nt
Filed under: Marmota monax (woodchuck)
Lineage: Eukaryota; Metazoa; Chordata; Mammalia; Rodentia; Sciuridae
Description: tRNA.Ala
Source: RNAcentral